AGCUUAUAGAAUUUUUUGUAAGUAUUUUCUGCCCGGUGAUUUUAUUUAACGGCCGCGGUACUUUGACCGUGCAAAGGUAGCAUAAUCAUUUGUCUUUUAAAUGAAGACUUGUAUGAAUGGAGUGACGUAUAAUCUAUUGUCUCUUUUCUCUUUAUUGAAUUUUCUUUUUAAGUGAAGAAGCUUAAAUUUAUUAAAAAGACGAGAAGACCCUAUUGAGUUUUAUUUUUUUAUUAACAUUUUCUUAUUUUUUUUUUAUAUAUUAAAAUUUAGUUGGGGCAACUGAGGAAGAUUAAAUUUUCUUUUUUUUUAUUUUGAUCCGAUAUUAUCGAUAUUAAGAAUAAAUUACCAUAGGGAUAACAGCGUAAUCCUUUUAGAGAGUUCUUAUUAAUAAAAGGGUUUGCGACCUCGAUGUUGGACUAAAAUUUCCUAAGGGUGUAGAAGUUCUUAAGGGUGGGUCUGUUCGACCUUUAAAAUUUU
Molecule: ribosomal RNA, 477 nt
Filed under: Nemertea sp. RCMB0193
Lineage: Eukaryota; Metazoa; Nemertea
Description: partial 16S ribosomal RNA
Rfam family: Bacterial large subunit ribosomal RNA
Source: RNAcentral